GCUUGUCUCAAAGAUUAAGCCAUGCAUGUCUUAGUGUAAAUAACUCUUAUGAAACUGCGAAUGGCUCAUUAAAUCAGUUAUAGUUUAUUUGAUGGUUCUUGCUACUUGGAUAACCGUAGUAAUUCUAGAGCUAAUACAUGCAUCAAACCCCGACUUCUGGAAGGGGUGUAUUUAUUAGAUGGAAACCAAUUCGGGGCAACCCGGUUUAUGGUGAUUCAUAAUAACUUUCGGAUCGACGCAAGUCGAUGCAUCAUUCAAGUUUCUGCCCUAUCAGUUGUGGAUGGUAGGGUAUUGGCCUACCAUGACUUUAACGGGUAACGGAGAAUUAGGGUUCGAUUCCGGAGAGGGAGCCUGAGAAAUGGCUACCACAUCCAAGGAAGGCAGCAGG
This 388-nucleotide ribosomal RNA is filed under the name uncultured Synurales. RNAcentral describes it as "partial small subunit ribosomal RNA". It matches the Rfam family "Eukaryotic small subunit ribosomal RNA", at positions 30 to 432 of the family's 1831-position model. Lineage: Eukaryota; Synurophyceae; Synurales. The record is from RNAcentral.